UUUCUUAUGGCAGUAGAUACUCUAAAAUUGGAAUGAUACAGCAAAGAUUAGCAUGGCCCCUGCACAAGGAUGACAUGCAAAUUUGUGAAGCAUUCUACGGCAGU
Octopus sinensis (East Asian common octopus) is the source of this 104-nucleotide small nuclear RNA. The record is from RefSeq and is a predicted model, not a curated record. Lineage: Eukaryota; Metazoa; Mollusca; Cephalopoda; Octopoda; Octopodidae.